Molecule: ribosomal RNA, 440 nt
Filed under: uncultured bacterium
Lineage: Bacteria
Description: partial 16S ribosomal RNA
Rfam family: Bacterial small subunit ribosomal RNA
Source: RNAcentral
CCUACGGGAGGCAGCAGUAGGGAAUAUUGCUCAAUGGGGGAAACCCUGAAGCAGCAACGCCGCGUGCAGGAUGACGGUUUUCGGAUUGUAAACUUCUUUUGUUAGAGAAGAUAAUGACGGUAUCUAACGAAUAAGCACCGGCUAACUCCGUGCCAGCAGCCGCGGUAAUACGGAGGGUGCAAGCGUUAUUCGGAAUCACUGGGCGUAAAGAGCGCGUAGGCGGGAUAGCAAGCCAGAUGUGAAAUCCUAUGGCUUAACCAUAGAACUGCAUUUGAAACUGGUAUUCUAGAGUAGGGGAGAGGUAGGUGGAAUUCUUGGUGUAGCGGUAAAAUCCGUAGAGAUCAAGAGGAAUACUCAUUGCGAAGGCGACCUGCUGGAACAUAACUGACGCUGAUGCGCGAAAGCGUGGGGAGCGAACAGGAUUAGAUACCCCGGUAGUC